CCUACGGGAGGCAGCAGUGAGGAAUAUUGGUCAAUGGGCGUAAGCCUGAACCAGCCAAGUCGCGUGAGGGAUGAAGGUUCUAUGGAUCGUAAACCUCUUUUAUAAGGGAAUAAAGUGUGGGACGUGUCCUGUUUUGUAUGUACCUUAUGAAUAAGGAUCGGCUAACUCCGUGCCAGCAGCCGCGGUAAUACGGAGGAUCCGAGCGUUAUCCGGAUUUAUUGGGUUUAAAGGGUGCGUAGGCGGCCUUUUAAGUCAGCGGUGAAAGUCUGUGGCUCAACCAUAGAAUUGCCGUUGAAACUGGGAGGCUUGAGUAUGUUUGAGGCAGGCGGAAUGCGUGGUGUAGCGGUGAAAUGCUUAGAUAUCACGCAGAACCACGAUUGCGAAGGCAGCCUGCCAAACCAUGACUGACGCUGAUGCACGAAAGCGUGGGGAUCAAACAGGAUUAGAUACCCCAGUAGUC
This 460-nucleotide ribosomal RNA is filed under the name uncultured bacterium. RNAcentral describes it as "partial 16S ribosomal RNA". It matches the Rfam family "Bacterial small subunit ribosomal RNA", at positions 338 to 795 of the family's 1533-position model. The record is from RNAcentral.